AGUGAACGCUGGCGGUAGGCCUAACACAUGCAAGUCGAACGGCAGCACAGUAAGAGCUUGCUCUUACGGGUGGCGAGUGGCGGACGGGUGAGGAAUACAUCGGAAUCUACUUUUUCGUGGGGGAUAACGUAGGGAAACUUACGCUAAUACCGCAUACGACCUACGGGUGAAAGCAGGGGAUCUUCGGACCUUGCGCGAUUGAAUGAGCCGAUGUCGGAUUAGCUAGUUGGCGGGGUAAAGGCCCACCAAGGCGACGAUCCGUAGCUGGUCUGAGAGGAUGGUCAGCCACACUGGAACUGAGACACGGUCCAGACUCCUACGGGAGGCAGCAGUGGGGAAUAUUGGGCAAAGGGCGCAAGCCUGAUCCAGCCAUACCGCGUGGGUGAAGAAGGCCUUCGGGUUGUAAAGCCCUUUUGUUGGGAAAGAAAAGCAGCAGGUUAAUACCCCGCUGUUCUGACGGUACCCAAAGAAUAAGCACCGGCUAACUUCGUG
Molecule: ribosomal RNA, 492 nt
Filed under: uncultured bacterium
Lineage: Bacteria
Description: partial 16S ribosomal RNA
Rfam family: Bacterial small subunit ribosomal RNA
Source: RNAcentral